This 447-nucleotide ribosomal RNA is filed under the name uncultured bacterium. Its description in RNAcentral is "bacterial SSU rRNA". It matches the Rfam family "Bacterial small subunit ribosomal RNA", at positions 355 to 825 of the family's 1533-position model. The record is from RNAcentral.
UCGGGAAUUUUGGGCAAUGGGCGAAAGCCUGAUCCAGCCAUGCCGCGUGAGUGAUGAAGGCCCUAGGGUUGUAAAACUCUUUCGUGGGGGACGAUAAUGACGGUACCCCAAGAAGAAGCUCCGGCUAACUUCGUGCCAGCAGCCGCGGUAAUACGAAGGGGGCUAGCGUUGUUCGGAUUUACUGGGCGUAAAGCGCGUGUAGGCGGGCUGGAAAGUUGGGGGUGAAAUCCCGAGGCUCAACCUCGGAACUGCCUCCAAAACUUCCAGCCUGGACUCAAGUAGAGGCAAGUGGAAUUGCGAGUGUAGAGGUGAAAUUCGUAGAUAUUCGCAGGAACACCAGUGGCGAAGGCGACUUGCUGGACUUGUAGUGACGCUGAGACGCGAAAGCGUGGGGAGCAAACAGGAUUAGAUACCCUUGUAGUCCCUGAGCGGGCUGGCAAGGCGCAU